Molecule: RNA transcript, 5074 nt
Organism: Pecten maximus
Lineage: Eukaryota; Metazoa; Mollusca; Bivalvia; Pectinida; Pectinidae
Exons: 12
Source: RefSeq, a predicted model, not a curated record
UGGAGUCGCGAGUAGAGGUUGUAACCUAAAUCGAGACUUUAAAGCAGCAACAUCAACAUCAACACAAACACUCUGAUUUCGGCAUCCAAACUGUACAGACAGAAGCGGAGAGACCCUAAGAAAGGUUAUUAUUAUAGUUGCAUCUUAGGUGGCAGACAACGUAAGUGUGCACCAGCUGGUGACAGUCCCUGGAUGGAGCUUGGCGGCACAAAACCUCAAACGAUGGGAGAAAAUGCUCAAGUUGUAAAACAACGACAAAAAUGUAAUAGAUAUUUUACAUUCCGGAAUUCUGAUUCACAUGUGGAACGGCAUAAAGUACAAGGGGAGAUAACUCCUUUAUCAAACCAACUGGGACAGCAGCACAGAGAUUUUAUCUCUGCUAGCCUACAGACUCAAAUACAGCUAGGCGCUAGUACAAGGACGCAAAAACUUUUACCUACAGAUUGUCAAGGGUUUGCCUCGUGGAUGUUCGUUGUAAUGCUGCUGUUCAUGGUUUUUUCUCAUGUUGCUGCUGCUUUGACAGGGUGUCCAUCUCCAGACUACAUUUUGCAUGAGAAUGGAUAUUGUUGUGGUGUUGUGUCUUGUAAUAUAAAUUUCUCGGUGUCAGUGUGCCAAACUGAUUAUGGCAAUGACUCAUGUGUCAAAUGUCCUGAAGAUAGCUUCCUUUGGGACCCAACAACGUCAGAGAGGGUCACUGCAUGUGUGAAACCAGAAUGUUUGGAAGGUGUUACACGACCAUCAACAGUGAAGUCGACAGAGUUGAAUCCGAAUGCCUGCCCCCAGUGGUGUCAAUGUGACUUAGACGCUAAUUACUGUGGGACAGAUCCGUGUAGAUGUGAACAGAAGACAUGUGGAUUUGGGUCCAUCCUGGAGCAGAAUUGUGGGUGUAGACCUAAUACACCUAGUCCUCCUAGAACAACUCCUGUUAUUUCUACGACGGGUGCUCUCCCACCUGAUGACACUACAGGUCCUGAUGUCAGCAUGUCCAAGCCAGCAAUCAUUGCCAUUGCUAUAGCUGGUGUAGUUGUGAUCAUAGUGAUAGUGAUAGUUUUAUUGCUAUCGCAGACACAUAUCGAAGAAAAAGAGAAAAGAAACUGUAACAGAGGGAAACACUGGGAGUACUUCAGCUGACCGCGACAAGCCUGAUAACAGAACUGUAACAGAGGGAAACACUGGGAGUACUUCUGCUGAGCGCGACAAGCCUGAUAGCAAUGGAUCAAAAAAUGGAACUAUCAAUAUGGAUAGAACAGGCAAUUUACAGAUAGGUAACAACACAAAAAAGUAUCUAUCUAAUUCUACCAAUUCGGUGGAGAUGCAGACUAUCACACCUUUAAUACACCAGGAAGCUAGCCGUUCCAGCCGGGAAAUGGAUGUGAAUGUAGAUCAGGGUCCUUCAGUACCUGAUCGUAACUUAGCUGAAGAUGGUUCUCCGGAAUCUACACCACUCCUUGGUGGACAUUCAGACACCGACGAAUCUGGUACCUUUGGUGUUGAUGCAGGGGGAGAACAAUCGAUCGUGAAACACAAUUAAAAGAAAACUGUUGUGUCAGAAAACAGUACUUCAGCUUGUGAACCAAAACAACGAAAUGGAGUUGUCUCAGCAUCUACAACAUUUACCGGUUUUUGCUUACCUGGUCCAAAGGAUUGAUGUGAAGUUUGUUUUCAUUACUCAAUGGGCUCUUGAUGGAUUUUAUGUGAAGGUUCCCUUUGAAGUCUAACAAUCUGUACACACAUAGAGAGCUCGGGUGCCUGUGAAGGACCUUUUAUAUUAUAUAUUUAUAUAUAUAUUUUAUAUUUUAUAGGUAUAUUAUAUAAGAAAUUUUUAGGUGCUGUGGAAUGGCCACUUUAAGUGAUCAUCACCAAAUUUUGCUAGACCAAAUUCAUUCAAAGCUCUCUGGGAAUAAAACUAUCACUUAUUUCUAUGAUCAAUAUCCUGAUGAGUUCAGGAUGGGUCUAGAAAUAAUUCUUCCAAAAAAAUCUAACAACACACUGGAUGAUCCUGUUUGAAGACAUCUGUUUAAGAUAAAUUAAUUGUAGAAAAACUGUUAAAAUCAUGCACAAUGACCUGUUUUAACCCUGAGUAAUCCAAACUUUUUUCUCUGCCAAUUAUUACGCUUGCUGCCUGGCUUUUGCAAGGGGAGGUAACUCGUACGCACUCGAGUUGAUGCAACAUAAGAAAGUCACCUCAAGCUCUUGGGCUGAUAAAAAUGGCCCUCACCCAUCGAAUACUGUUUUUGGUCUCGGAUUUUCCAAUAAGAAAUCUUUAAGUGAAAUUUACAUUUGAUACUUAAAAUGAAAGUAGAAUACUUCUGAUUGAUUUGUCAAUUCCAAGAAAUAGGCAACAAAAAACUGGCCAUGCUGGUUUAGCUGGUUGAAGUGAUUAUGAGGCGAAAUUUCAACAUUAGCUUGUUUCUGCAACAAAGAUUCUGAUAAUGAUAAAGCGUGUUUCAAACCAGUCGAUCGUGAAAUGCUUGUAUAAAGUAUAUAACAUGAACUUGCGAUUCAACAAAUUACCAGAACGGAUAAGGUAGGCCCAUUCAUGAUUUUCGAGAUGAGUUUCUUCUAUUGAAAGUUGUCAAAUAUCGAAUCCCGAUACAAAUCAAUUGAUACACGCAGAGAAAAAAUUUUGAAAUUUAGGAACAAAAAUGUUCGGAGAGAGUAAUUCACAGUUAAACUGACUAAACAUUACCUUUCCACAUUCCUAACUAAAUAUUACCUUUCCAUAUUCCUAACUAUAAACAUUACCUUUCUACAUUCCUGACUAUAAACAUUACUUUUCCACAUUCCUAGCUAAACAUUACCUUUCCACAUUCCUAGCUAAACAUUACCUUUCCACAUUCCUAGCUAAACAUUACCUUUCCACAUUCCUAGCUAAACAUUACCUUUCCACAUUCCUGACUAAACAUUACCUUUCCACAUUCCUGACUAAACAUUACCUUUCCACAUUCCUGACUAAACAUUACCUUUCCAUAUUCCUAGCUAAACAUUACCUUUCCACAUUCCUGACUAAACCUUACCUUUCCACAUUCCUGACUAAACAUUACCUUUCCACAUUCCUAACUAAACAUUACCUUUCCAUAUUCCUAGCUAAACAUUACCUUUCCAUAUUCCUAGAUAAAUUUGUGCCUCAUUCCUGUCAAAUCUGUGCAUUCCAAGUUUGAUCAGGAUGUUCAUUGCUGAAAUUCCAAGUUAGAUGAUCAGUUCAGAAAAUUUCUUUAUAGCUGUUUUUAGAACAACAAAAAAUGUACCUCGGUAUACCACUGAAGAUGACAACACACUUAUGUCAGUUUCCCCUUAAUUUUCUUAUCAGGGUAACUUUUAAAAUGGAUUAAUAGUUUGUUUGAUGAUUGUAUAAUUGAAUUUUAUUGACUUCAGUUAAAGUCCAAUUAACAUCUUUCAUCUGAUGAAAUUAUUACAAACUAAUAUGUUCAUUCUUUUAAAAACUAACUCUGUAAAAGAGUGAUUGCAUUGUUAAUCAUAAUAAUUAUCAUUUCAGUUUUUAACUGUGAUACCACAGUCAUUUUACAGAUUCACAAAUUAUUCAUGGUUAAAGGGCCUUUAACAACAAUAUCUUUUUGAACUUCUGAGCUGCCAUUUCAUUGCUAACAACUAGCUUACAGCUGGAGCUGCCAUUUCGUUGCUAACAGCUUACAGCUGGAGCUGCCAUUUCGUUGCUAACAGCUUACAGCUGGAGCUGCCAUUUCGUUACUAACAGCUUACAGCUGGAGCUGCCAUUUCGUUACUAACAGCUUACAGCUGGAGCUGCCAUUUUGUUACUAACAACUUACAGCUGGAGCUGCCAUUUUGUUACUAACAACUAACACACGAGAUUUCUUGCACUGCUCUACCACGUACUCAUUUACAGCUGAGUGUACACCGUAGGAACACAACAGAGUAAAGUAUCUUGUUCUAGGAUACAACAGUGUCCGUAUCAGGACUCAAACUAGCGACGCUUCAGUCACGCAGGUCUGACCUGCCAUAAGACCACCAUACAUCUAGUUUCGACUCAUUGUAAAUAAAUAUACUUGCCAUAUGAUUAUGGUAAUUAUCCCACCGUGUCUAUAGCUGUUCACCAGAAAAGCCAUCAAAUGCAAUUGUCCUUUAUUUAGCCAAUCCCUGCCUCAUGUCACAGAGGGAUUUUGUUGGCCCUGUGGGCUUUUGCCUCGUUUCUCGGAGGGAUUUUGUUGGUCCUGUAGUCUUAUGCCUCAUCUUGGAGGCAUUGUGUUGGCCGUGUGGGCUUAUGCCUCUUGUCUUGGAGGGAUUUUGUUGGCCUUGUGGGCUUAUUGCAGCAUAAAUGUGGUAGCCAGUAAUACUGGUGUAGCAGUGGUUCUGCCCCGGGAUCGUACAUGUACUACAAACACGACAGCUCUGUGAAGUAUCCGUUUAUUCGUUACAGGAUCAGUAUUCAUCAUCAACCCAGACCAGCGUUCAAUUCUUUUCGAUAACAAAUCUAAACUCGUACGUACUGAGUCCUAGGUUAAGCUGUUUCCAGUAGGCCUAGUGUAAAUGUUACGUGUUCAUUAACGUUUUAGAGACAGGCGACGUUUAAAUAUGUAAUAUUUAAUUUCAUUAUUGUUUGUUUAAUGAAAUUAUUGUGUCGUUAGUUGAUGCUUUGAUGUCUUGAUCAGCUGAUAUUUUUUUAUGUUGAGCAACGAAACAAACAAUAAAGAAUCAUAUGAUAUGUAUUACAUAUUGGCUUACGAUGACACAAACUUUCAAGGAAUUACUGUGCAUGUACUUCAGUACACAUUAGCAGUAUAUUGAAUAAUUCCUUUUCAGUAAUAGAAGUUGUUUUUUUCUCAAAUUUUUAAUGAAAUAUUUAUAUUCUAAUGCUUUAAAUUUUGAAAUUAAAGUUUCUGACCUGCCCUGAAAUGGUUCUUAGGACAGUGUCAAAUUAUAUCAUCUUUUGCAUUAAUAAAUAACUGAAAUAAUUUUUCAAAUAUAUUUAAACCCUUCACUUUUAUGCACCAAAGAAAAUAAUAUGCAAGAAAGCUGUUCUGACGAAUUUAAGCUAAAAUAUUACAUGUGCCAAAGAAAGCCAUUUGCGAGAAACCUGUUCUUACAAAAUUUUACU